Molecule: long non-coding RNA, 4246 nt
Organism: Ornithorhynchus anatinus (platypus)
Lineage: Eukaryota; Metazoa; Chordata; Mammalia; Monotremata; Ornithorhynchidae
Exons: 3
Source: RefSeq, a predicted model, not a curated record
CCACAGCUAACGACAUUUUCCACGUAAGUUAAAGCAGGCACCUAACUGUGCCCGCCAAUCACAGCUGCACAGGCUGACCCAAGUCCAACGCCUGCCCGCACUCUUUGGCUCCGUCUGUCUCUCUUCUGCAGGACUGUAGUUGAUCGCACCUGAAAAGCUACACAGUCCCGGCACACAGCCACCGGCAGAGAAACCAACCACUCUAAAGAGAAGGAGCUACCGCCUUCGGAUCCUGAGGACAAAGCCGCGGUCUGCUUUCCAGAUCAGGCAAUGGAAAUUCCCAGGGAUGAAAGAGACUGACUGGACAAUAAGCCUGAAGCUAAAGACUUGUUCCCUGCCUCCAGAGGAGAUUACAGUCUAACGGCGGAGAAAGGCAGCCCCAAAUUACCGUCAUUCCUCCACUGACCCAAGGAUUAUGGCUCUGACCAUUGCGAGGUUCGAUGCACAACUUUCUUCCCGCAUUGUUUCAGGUCCUACCCAGAUGAGAGGAAUGUUUCCUAAUUCAGAAAUAGCAUUCUAGCCAAAUGGUAUAGUGAAGGAUGCACAUUAAAGGAGAAUUAUCUCUAUGGAGUGGAAGCAAGAGGAAGAACGAGGAUACAACUAUUAAUAGCAAAAGAAUGGCGAAAUGAAAUAGAUUAAUAAGUGGCCUAUGCAGAGCCAGAUACACCAACCAUCAAUAAUGACUUAAAUAAGUGCUGAGGAUGGGUGUGAAUCCAAGAGAAAAAUUCAAUGAGAGGUUGCUGCGUUUUAAAUAGUAGGCAAAUCAAGAACCAGAAAAAAGCUAAGCAAUUAACUCCAGCUACAAUUUGGGCAAGAUUAUGAGUUUAAGGCUAAUGCUGAGGCAUAAUGAUAUCUAAGUGAUAAAAUCAUCGGGCCCAGGAAUGCCUCGAAGCCGAUGUGAAUUUUUUUCUGAAGUCUUUGCGCACUGUAUCUGUAUUCCCGGCUUGGGGAUGGGGGGAAGCAACCGAAACGGAAUUUCGCUUAAAAGGAAGACGACAACAAACCCAGUACUUGCUGAAAAACUAGACUCUGGACACACUCUUCCAGGGCCUACAUAGGUGACAAAAGGGUGUGUGUGGUUACCCAACUGAUCAUCUUAUCUGAUGGGAGUAAGAAGGUCAACAAACCCAAGCUUGGCAGAGAACCUCUAAAAAUCAAUGCUCGGGUGUGAACAAAAAGUAUUCUUCCACCGAGACCAAAGCCGACCAAGUGGUCUCACGCAAGAGGUUAAGGGAGGCCGGCGACACGGGGAUCCGUACAAACCGAUAGAUUUCAUUAGGCAAUGGGACGUAGUCCUUCGGGAUGAUGUUUAAAGAACCUGUUGCAGCAAGAGGUGGCGGCACCCUCUGAGGCUCAGUGAGCACAGGGCGGAGAGUCAGGCAUCUGGAUUCUGGACUUGGAUUUGCCACUCAUUCACUGUAUGGAUUUGGGCCAUUUUUACUGCGCUUUGAUAAGUAUACGGCAAUUAGCUCACCUCAUUUUGAAGGUGAGUUCACCCUCCCUCGUGGAAGGAUACUGAAAGCGAAGCAAACGAAACCAGAGUUCUGUUUUAUUUGCCUGACAACCCAAGUGGUUGUGUCCCAAGGAACAGCGGGCUAUUUUCUGGGUGGAUUUUGUUUGGCCUGGCUCCGUUUUCCCAGGAUGUAUCAUAUGAAAAAUACUUUGGUGCUACUUUCCAACAGAGGGGUUGUGAGGAAGAUUAAAACCAACAUGUAGGGAGUUUAGUUUCCCGAGCUAUGAGGUCAACGGAUAUCACCAUCACCAUCGAGGUUAAAGCUCAGGGAAAAGCGGCCAUCACAAACAACCGUGGCUCCAUGGUACAGGGGGACGGGGGAGAGAGGCAGAGAGAAGGCCGGGCUCCACUAGGAUUCAACUCCUACCUACUCAGGAUAAUGGAAGGAAGGAGAAAGGCAAAGCAAACUUCUUACGAAACAGCGGCUCAGCCCCGAGGUACUGAAAGCUAUGAGAGGAAGCAGAACACGCGCAACACAAAUUGCUGCGGCAGGAAGUCGUUGGCAGAGUUGUACACUCCUCCCCAACCGUCCUUCUGCACCUUCUUCGGAUGAACCAGAAGGACUUUACAAACGGCACAUCUCUGGAAGGCAAGGCCAGGACAGGAAAUGGUGGAUCGGAGAUUACCUGCGGCCCCCGCGGAGAGGUCAAUGGCGGCUUGGAUAGCAGGGUUGCUCUUCAUGUUUUGACUCUGGCUCACCGCACUCUACUGAAUCAGACUUGCAGCUUGCAGUGCAGACCCCUGGCAGCAAACAAAAGAUAAGGGUUGACCGACGCCUCAGCGUUCUCCAGGUCUCUGGCUACCGGCGAAAUCAAGAGGGUCAGACGGAUGGUCCGUUCGGGGUUCAUCCGGUCCUGGGGCCGAGGUGAGGAUUCGGGAAGUAGUGGGCUGGGAGGUUGGGGGCGGGGGGAGAAGAGGGAGACAAACUCCAUCUCCCGCCUCCCUCCUCCCAAUCUAGCUCCUCGCCUGAGGAGUCCUCAGACAUGCGCCUGUGCGGACACCUUGACCCGUCCCCGGUUCCUCCAUCGGUCCCCUCUGUCAGUCAGCUAAUGGAUCGUAUUUACUGAGCGCUUAAUGUGUGCAGAGCACCGUUCUAAGCGCUUGGGAGAGUACAACAUAAUAUUACAACAGACACAUUCCCUGCCACCCCGGCGACACCUCUCUCUGGCUCUCCCCACUAGCGGAGAGAGGGUUUCUUUCUCGCUUCUCUUCUGGCCAAAGCCCAGUAGGCCGACUCGGGGCGUGGCCCCCGCUCCCAGAUUCCUCACGUGGGUCACCUCCCCUUCACGGAGGCAGUUGGUCUUGGCCGGUGGCCAACGGCUGUACCAACCUGGAUCUGAGAGAUGGAAGGAUGUAGCGACCUGGAUCCGCGAAAGAGCACGGGAGGAUGUCCGGCGGGCCCCAAAAGGCCGACCGGCAAGCGGCAGAAGGAGCCGGUCGGGGAGAGGGGCAACUUGGGCUCCUAACAGGUAGUGACAGUCACUCUUUGAUUUGUCCUCUUAAAGGGACCUACCACCUGUCUCCACGCACCCACCCCUCGGGCCUCUGCGCUGGAAGUGGCGGAGAAGGAGAUUGGCUGAAAGCUCACAAGGUCACACUGGGGUGAAAGUUUCCAGGGCCACAUCCUCUCCUCCCCCAAGCUGAAUCCAAGCCAGUGCCCGAGUAUUGAUCCCAGCACUUGCCUACUGUGUGACCUAGGGCAAGCUUCGUCUUCCUCGUCCAUAAAAUGGGGACUGAGUAUCAGAACCUAAAAAACCAGCAGUAGCAUUGAGCUGCCCAAGCCGACGCAAGUUGCGAGCAUUAACAGCCUGAGCCGGGUGCUCAGAAUGGAUAAAAUCAUGGACUCAUCUACACAGAAUAAUGACGAAGAUGACCUUUCUGUUCAUCCCUCGGCUUUCAUGAAGAAAAGGGUUUAAAAAACACCCCAGAUGUCCAAGUUCAAUUAGAAGGAUUUUUGAGUUCUAGUAAAAGCAGUUUAUGGUAGCGUAGCUGAAUCACAAAUUCAGAUGUAAUGCAAUACUCACUAUUGUUUAAGAAGUGCUGAUCUGAAAAACACUAGACAAGUCAAGAUGAAUGAAUACUGUAUAUAAAGACCUUUGAUUUGAAAAAAAAAAGACUAAAUGAAAAUGUGAUUCAGAAUCAGGACCAAAGGCCUCUUAAAAUGACUUAAAAAUCAUUAAAUUCAUAUUCGGCGAUCAAUAAUUUUCCAGUGCGAAGGAAUGUAUAGUAACUUAAUUGUCAAGCAUGAGAGCAAAAAAUAGGAUAAUUUUCUACAAAGUGUGAGAUAAGGAAAAAUAUGACAAUUACCAGUGGUGUGAAUAUUUAUAAAAAAAAAAACUUUGGAGGAAAAAAGUAGCAUUUUUGUCCUCUAUUUAAAAUGAAAUUAAAAUGAAAUGGAGAGGGAUAGAAAUCAGCACUAUUGCUUCUUCUGCUAAAGCUCGGCUUAAUCGAAAGAAUUGUGGUAUUUAUAAAGUGCUUACUUUGUGCUGAGCAUGGUGCAACGAGUUAGGUUACCGACAAGGUUACCUAAAACGGUAACCCGAUUUGCUUGUAUCUACCCCAGCGCUCAGUACAGUGCCUGGCACACAGUAAGUGCUUAACACAUACCUCUAUUAUUAUUAUUACAAGACGAUCAGAUAGGACACAGUCUUUGCCUCACUUGGGCAUCACAGUCAAUGGAGGAGGAAGAACAGAUGAGGUAACUGAGGCCCAGAGAAGUGAAGUGACUUGCCC